CGCCUUGUCAUUCUGAACGCGCGCUUGUGAAGUGCUCGGUUGAUGGGUCUCAGAUCCAGAAUCGGACGGAGUCCACCAUCUUUCUUUGGCACCACAAAGUAGCGGCUGUAGAAGCCGCUUUCCUGCUCGUUCGGAGGGACGCGCUCUAUCGCUCCUUUCUCGAGCAGACUGAGAACUUCCUGUCUCAGAACGGGAAGGUUUUUGGGCAUAGUCAGUGACGGGACCACGCCAUUGAAGCGGGGAGGUCUGCGUUUGAACUGAAGAGAAUAUCCGUGCUGAAUUAUUCCCAGUAUCCACGGUGAAACGCCCGGGAUAGCUCUCCACGCGUCCAGGAAGUGACACAGCGGACGCGUUAGCUCUACGGCCACCGUAACCACUGAUGGUGUGUUUUGACCGGCGCCCCGUCCCUGCGAGGCUAGAACCACUGGCGGGAGGGGGGCUCGCGGUGGGCAUUGUGUGGUGUUGGCACUCUCGCGCCCUCGAGAGGCCAUUAUAAUCAUGGGUUGUGGCUCUGCGCUGCUCUGAGACAGGGCGAGUGACACAGUGUUGGGUGCAAGAGGAAGAAAAAGCUCUUUUUGUGGACGGAUACAUGUUUUUAUUGUGUAAUUCACACAAACAGCAUUUAAACCCACAUAGCAUUCGUCGCCCGUAGGAACAUGGGGAACAUGAUGCUCUUGAACAUGGCGCUUGGGGGCGGGGCCUCCAGCGCGCUCUCUCUUCCUCCUUAACGGCCCGUCAGGAAGAUGGCUUGGUAGCCGGGGAUGCAGAAACUGCCUCCCCUGCAGCAGCAUAGGCUUUGUCCGCCUGGUGGGCCGUGAAUCUGCACGGCUUGGAAGGCAGGCUGCGGUCCGAACCCAACGCAGAGGAAGACGGGCACAGGUGCGCGGCAACAGUCUCCUCGACGGGGGGCAUGCGCACAUACCCGUGGGCUUCCGCCCCGUCCACGUGUGCAAACAUAGCCUGCGUGGCAGAGUGGGUGCGCGCCGAUUGGGGUGCAGCCCACGACUUCACCACGUGCUCGUGCACGUCUGGGAAGAACGGGGUUCUUCUCCUCGGUGCGGCCUGGCGGCGGCUCGACUGGAGGAACCACGAGUCCAGCUUACUUUUCACAGGCUCGUCAGGUGCGUUCCAAGCGAGGUCCAGCUCCGUGACGGCCUUGCUGAGGACCCUGACGAGCUCCUCCUGGAGGUCUGCAGGGCCCUCUUGGUCGGGGCGGUCCGACUGAGACCCCCAAUCCUUUUCCGACGCCGAGAGCGACAUGGAGUCGUCUUCCUCGCCAGCUUCUUCGAAGGCGACGAAGUUCGCGACGGUGUUGGGGGGGCGGAAGCUAACUUCCGCGAAGUUGACGUCGUCGAACUCGACCUCGGGCGGGGGAGGGCCCACCAGCGGCUCGCUGGUGGCAGUGGGCCUCAUCCCUGCUGUUGCCCGAGCCACUUCUCUCCUGGCUCUGAGGGCGCGCACUGGCAGCUCGGCGCAGUGGGCGCACGUGUCGUCCGUGAGUGCCGCCUCCGCGUGGGCGAGGCCCAGGCAGGUGACACAGAACUGGUGAAGGUCGGGCGGGUCAAUGGGACCCGCGCAAAUCUGGCAUGUAGCAGCCAUCGGAUGCGGAGAGGAAAAAACAGGGGUGAGUAGUCCUCUAAUGCAACUUCUACGAUGAUUUAGAAAAGACUUCUAGCGUGAAGAAAGAGAUUCUGACGUAAUUUUCGCGCCCAUGCAUUUUAUACUGCCCGUGACGUGUCAGUAUUUGCAUGCUUCGCGUCAAUUGGCCAGCUGUCCCCAGCUGGCGUUAGCCCAUAAGAUGCGAAAGUGGAGAAGGGAGGAGUUCCCAUAUACGUCUUAGCUGACGUAAUGUUGAGUUACCGCCUUGAUAGGGAACUAAAAUAACAACUUUAUUCAACAAUUUGUCUCCUCUGUGUCUCUCCGCAUCACCGUUGCGCCAUUUUGGAGAAUAUCCGCAUACUGCGUACA
Long non-coding RNA from Cyprinus carpio (common carp), 1968 nucleotides. The record is from Ensembl. NCBI's taxonomy places the organism in Eukaryota, Metazoa, Chordata, Actinopteri, Cypriniformes, Cyprinidae.